CCUGGAUGCAUUCUGCUUGUGUUGAGUGUAUCUGUCUGGGAGAGGUGAUAGAGAACCUAUGGAGUGACAAGCCAUCCUACCUCCUCUCACCAAUGGGAGCAAAAAAGAACUGAGGAAGGGUGCCUUGCAAAUGUUUUUUGCCUAAGGAGAUCACAGCUCAGUGGGCUGAGUUGCAAACUGUAUGAGUAGCUUUGUCUUGAGGAAAGGCAAGAUUUCUGUCACGCCGUCAGGGCCUUUCCUGUAUUUGUGCCUCCUCUUUGGGGUUUCUUUUCUAUAAAAUGGACUAUAACAACUUUCACCUGCUGAGUCUCAGAUACGUCUUGAAGACAGUGUCGUGUAUAAACAUCGAAGUCUUAAAGCAUGGAAACUAAAGCAUGAGUAUGAUGUGGUUUAGCUCAUUUCUGACUGCAGGUUCUCCCUAGCCUGGCUCACAGCCAUGAUCACUCAGGACAGCUACAACCUCGAGGAAAAUCAUAGAAUCACAAGGUUGGAAAAGACCUACAAGAUCAUCUAGUCCAACCGUUCUCCCUUUACCAUACCUACAGAAAACCACUAAACCCUGAUUUGGGGAAUUAUUCCCUAGGAGUGCUCGUGCUUUACAGCAGUUUCUGAAGGUUUACUUUUUAGAGGCAAAGCAUUUGUGCAGGGAAAAGCCAACACUGCGAGAUGAUGAGCUGUCCUUUCGAGGAAAUGAGAUGAUGGGGAUUAGAGAAGCACUGAAAGAUAUUUCCUGGUGAUGCAAUCUGGAGAAGUUCUUCAGCUCUUUCCAGGUCUCAGCUGCUGUUGCAAUGCCUGAAGUCUUUAACAGUGAACAGGCUCUUGGAGAAUGUUAAGAAUGAACACCGACACAUGCAGGGUAAAGAUAACCAGCAAAGAUUCUCAAGAUUUUGUGAUCCAUGGGAACUGACUUUGCUGGCCUGUAGCCCAUUGCCGGUGCAGAGGUUCACAUCACACACUUUCCAACACAGGAGGCAUCUUCUAUUCUGAAGUCACAUGAGUUUGUUGCCAGAUUCUCUCCUGGCCUUAAACUGAUAUGGAUUUACCAGCUGAUUACCAAUUAUAGCCUUACUGGAGCCCCUUCCCCACUUCUUUAGGAUAUGAAGUAAUGACCCCAAGUUAUACCAAGGCAAGUUUAAAUUGGACUUCAGGAAGAAUUUCUUCAUGGAGAGGGUGGUCAGGCAUCAGAAGGGGCUGCCCAGGGUAGAGGUGGAGUCUCCAUCUCUGGAGGUAUUUAAAAGACAAGUGCACACUGCACUAAGGGACGCGAUGAUGAUUUCUUAGCAGGUCUGGUGGAUGUUUGGUCUUAGUGAUCUUGACGGUCU
Molecule: long non-coding RNA, 1322 nt
Filed under: Coturnix japonica (Japanese quail)
Lineage: Eukaryota; Metazoa; Chordata; Aves; Galliformes; Phasianidae
Description: lncRNA (ENSCJPG00005004384.1)
Source: RNAcentral